Molecule: ribosomal RNA, 750 nt
Filed under: bacterium IBRC-M SB1
Lineage: Bacteria
Description: bacterial SSU rRNA
Rfam family: Bacterial small subunit ribosomal RNA
Source: RNAcentral
ACAGAAGGGAGCUUGCUCCCGAAUGUUAGCGGCGGACGGGUGAGUAACACGUGGGUAACCUGCCUGUAAGACUGGGAUAACUCCGGGAAACCGGAGCUAAUACCGGAUAGUUCCUUGAACCGCAUGGUUCAAGGAUGAAAGACGGUUUCGGCUGUCACUUACAGAUGGACCCGCGGCGCAUUAGCUAGUUGGUGGGGUAAUGGCUCACCAAGGCGACGAUGCGUAGCCGACCUGAGAGGGUGAUCGGCCACACUGGGACUGAGACACGGCCCAGACUCAUACGGGAGGCAGCAGUAGGGAAUCUUCCGCAAUGGACGAAAGUCUGACGGAGCAACGCCGCGUGAGUGAUGAAGGUUUUCGGAUCGUAAAGCUCUGUUGUUAGGGAAGAACAAGUGCGAGAGUAACUGCUCGCACCUUGACGGUACCUAACCAGAAAGCCACGGCUAACUACGUGCCAGCAGCCGCGGUAAUACGUAGGUGGCAAGCGUUGUCCGGAAUUAUUGGGCGUAAAGGGCUCGCAGGCGGUUUCUUAAGUCUGAUGUGAAAGCCCCCGGCUCAACCGGGGAGGGUCAUUGGAAACUGGGAAACUUGAGUGCAGAAGAGGAGAGUGGAAUUCCACGUGUAGCGGUGAAAUGCGUAGAGAUGUGGAGGAACACCAGUGGCGAAGGCGACUCUCUGGUCUGUAACUGACGCUGAGGAGCGAAAGCGUGGGGAGCGAACAGGAUUAGAUACCCUGGUAGUCCACGCCGU